AGUGAACGCUGGCGGUAGGCCUAACACAUGCAAGUCGAACGGCAGCACAGUAAGAGCUUGCUCUUACGGGUGGCGAGUGGCGGACGGGUGAGGAAUACAUCGGAAUCUACUUUUUCGUGGGGGAUAACGUAGGGAAACUUACGCUAAUACCGCAUACGACCUACGGGUGAAAGCAGGGGAUCUUCGGACCUUGCGCGAUUGAAUGAGCCGAUGUCGGAUUAGCUAGUUGGCGUGGUAAAGGCCCACCAAGGCGACGAUCCGUAGCUGGUCUGAGAGGAUGAUCAGCCACACUGGAACUGAGACACGGUCCAGACUCCUACGGGAGGCAGCAGUGGGGAAUAUUGGACAAUGGGCGCAAGCCUGAUCCAGCCAUACCGCGUGGGUGAAGAAGGCCUUCGGGUUGUAAAGCCCUUUUGUUGGGAAAGAAAAGCAGCAGGUUAAUACGCCGCUGUUCUGACGGUACCCAAAGAAUAAGCACCGGCUAACUUCGUG
Molecule: ribosomal RNA, 492 nt
Filed under: uncultured bacterium
Lineage: Bacteria
Description: partial 16S ribosomal RNA
Rfam family: Bacterial small subunit ribosomal RNA
Source: RNAcentral